RNAcentral lists this long non-coding RNA (1356 nucleotides) under Homo sapiens (human). Its description in RNAcentral is "HSALNT0302114". The record is from RNAcentral. Lineage: Eukaryota; Metazoa; Chordata; Mammalia; Primates; Hominidae.
GGAGGAAUGUGCUGGUGAGAGAAAGACAAGUUUGGUUUGGGACAAAUGAGUGUGAGGGCCCCAGCCUCUUGGCUGGCCAGUGAACACUUCCAAGAACCUUCAUACUUAAUACCUCUAUCACUCCUCCACUCAACAGGUGAGGAAACAUCAGUCCAGUGAGAGUGGCAUGUGUGGGGAGGAGCCCAGGCUUGCUCUGACCUCUCUCUGGGGCCCCCCACUCCAGAAGGUUGGAACAGCAUUCUACAGCAUUCCAGGAUGUGGAGGGGGCAGCAGUGUUUGUGUGCAGAGUGGCGAGGCCGACCUCCGAUGAGCUUCCCGUAGGAAGGGUGCAGUGGGGGGUGCUCACCCUGCCCAGGGAUGCUAUCUGCUCCAGGACUUGUUUAUCAGCCCACGGGGUGAUCGGCAUGACAUCAAUGGAUAUGCCAGGCUGCAGGCUACAGUGCCGAGAAGGAGAAGACGGAGGCGGUGGUGAUGUCACCCAAGGAAUUAAGUAAGCAGGGGAGCUGAUAACAUCGUCCAGCCAGGCUCACUGUGGGCAGGGUGACUCACUGAAGACGGCCUGCGAUCGCCAGGUGAUUGUUGUUGUGCCCAGCCUGUGGGGCUGGGGAGGAGGAAGGGGGGCAGGCCACAGAGCUGUGACAAGUUCCUCACCGAGGCCCCUGCUCAGGGGAGAGACCUCAGUACACAGUGUCCUCCACCUCUGAGCCCGGGGCUGGCUCAGGAAACAGCCCCCCUCUGCCUGUGCGAUUAUCUUUGUCCACAGUGUUUGGUGUGUGUUUGUGGGGUGUGUCAGGUGAUUUUCCUGCCCGAAGCCUGCUGGGUGCUCCAGGUACUAGCGAUUGCUCACAGCAGAGCAGUAGCCCCCUCCCUGGUUGGACAACUGUCUGUGGAGACAACACCGGAUGGCAAACUGCUAACCGCAACCACGUGGCGUCCUUACAGAGGGAACAGCCUGUUCCUCCCGCUGAGGGCACCUGCAGACCUGCCCCAUUCAUGGCUCCCUUCUCCCUCAGUCCCUGCUGAGGGGAUGGUCCCUUCCCACCCUUAAGGGCACCAUGGACUGUUGUCCAAGUUGAGAACUGUCCAACUGCAGGGGGCACCAUUCACUUGGCAGUCUUCGUGCCAGAUGCUAUGGCUGUCCACAGUGGCCCUGCCCCUUCCCUUUUGUAAAUUACUUCUCAGUUCCCUCCUCCACCAGAAUUAUCACACCAAACUUUCCCCCAUGUAUGCUUGCUUCUUUAUCACCUGACACUCUCAUUCAUUCAUUCCACAAAAAAAUUGUGGCGUUUGUGCAAGGUACUAUUCUAGGCAAGGGAACAAGACAGACCCUCCUGGAGCUCAUGGAGUUCAUAUUCU